CUCCUACGGGAGGCAGCAGUAGGGAAUCUUCGGCAAUGGACGAAAGUCUGACCGAGCAAUGCCGCGUGAGUGAAGAAGGUUUUCGGAUCGUAAAACUCUGUUGUUAGAGAAGAACAAGGACGUUAGUAACUGAACGUCCCCUGACGGUAUCUAACCAGAAAGCCACGGCUAACUACGUGC
This 180-nucleotide ribosomal RNA is filed under the name uncultured bacterium. Its description in RNAcentral is "partial 16S ribosomal RNA". It matches the Rfam family "Bacterial small subunit ribosomal RNA", at positions 336 to 508 of the family's 1533-position model. The record is from RNAcentral.